Molecule: ribosomal RNA, 484 nt
Filed under: uncultured bacterium
Lineage: Bacteria
Description: partial 16S ribosomal RNA
Rfam family: Bacterial small subunit ribosomal RNA
Source: RNAcentral
AUUGAACGCUGGCGGCAGGCCUAACACAUGCAAGUCGAGCUGAUGAAGGGAGCUUGCUCCUGGAUUCAGCGGCGGACGGGUGAGUAAUGCCUAGGAAUCUGCCUGGUAGUGGGGGAUAACGUCCGGAAACGGGCGCUAAUACCGCAUACGUCCUGAGGGAGAAAGUGGGGGAUCUUCGGACCUCACGCUAUCAGAUGAGCCUAGGUCGGAUUAGCUAGUUGGUGGGGUAAAGGCCUACCAAGGCGACGAUCCGUAACUGGUCUGAGAGGAUGAUCAGUCACACUGGAACUGAGACACGGUCCAGACUCCUACGGGAGGCAGCAGUGGGGAAUAUUGGACAAUGGGCGAAAGCCUGAUCCAGCCAUGCCGCGUGUGUGAAGAAGGUCUUCGGAUUGUAAAGCACGUUAAGUUGGGAGGAAGGGCAGUAAGUUAAUACCUUGCUGUUUUGACGUUACCAACAGAAUAAGCACCGGCUAACUUCGUG